CCUGAUGCAUCGCUGUUCUCACCACCACUCCUCCCUCGCCAUCUUCAGUUCGCGGUCAGCAGUGAUGAACCAAGGGCCACAAUGUCAACCAUCCUCGACCCCCUGGCCUGAGCUACUUCUGCCGCCACUACCGCCUUUUCCCCCAUAUGCACCUACCGCAGGUCGCCCUCUCCCCAAUUUCUAUCCAUCAACCUCAUGAAUUUGGGCUUCAAACUGCAUGGUGCGUCGGCCGGGACCUCGCAAUUGGGGACCAAGAAAGAGGGGCACCAGGGAGUGGAGGCACCGGUUGCUGGAGGAGCGAGGGUGAGGAUGGCCGUGGCAGUUCGUGUGAGGCAUCUGAAGGAGACAACGAGAAAUCUUCUCACAAUUGGUCUACAAGAUUUUGGGAUGCAACUCAUAUUCAUUGCGUUGCUUCUGUAAUCACUAUGUCUGCGUGCUUGAUCGGCCUACUUCAUCAUAUCCAAAGAAGGGUCUUUCCCACCACAUGUUUAUUUGAAUGACCAACAAUUCUUGCAGGAUGGCAUGUGAGGUCCACUGCCAUGCGAUGUGAUCGGAUCGCAGGUUGCGGUGGCAUGUGGUCGUUGAGGGCGGCCUGUAGGAGGUUGAAGUCUCUGCUGAACUCUCUGCUCUUGAUCACCACCGAUGAAGGGGAUGCUGAAAUCUAUGGACCACCAGGUGCACCUGCCAAAUUCUUUCUGACACUUUCCAUGUCUGAGUUGCUUCCUUUUCUUCAUUUUACAUGCUCAUUUCCAUGUCUGAGUUGCUUUCUUUUCUUCAUUUUACAUGCUCAUUUUUCUUGCAUGCCAUACAUGCUUGACAGUAAUCUCAUAGUUCUAUAACCUCAAGCAUGUAUAUCGCUGAGGAAUUUCUAUCUUUGGUAAGGUUGUCUCAUUUAUCUGUUACAUGGGGCUUUGCACUGCAGAAGUAGCUCAGUUAGAGUGCUCAAACUAUUUUCAGAUUUUGUUAAUAGGGUUUGAUAGGACAGUUCGUGGUUUUGAUGGUAUUGCAGCACUUUCUGCCUCCCUCUCACUAUUUAUUUCUGCCUGUAAUAUUCAAUGUAGGAGUGGCACAUGUGUCUUGAUGCCAAUGGAGAAGGGACAUUUGUUUUAAAUCCCACCCGAUGGAAAGAAAGUCACAAAAAAGCUGAGUCAUUGCAUGUGACCUCUACUUUUCUUGGAUUUAGCUGGGUUAGAAAGAACUAGAUUUAGAUGUGCGCCUUGGCGCACGAUCCCGUGAAAUUUGCACCAAUUUACAAUUUGUAUAAGAAUGAUGAAAAUCAGGUGAAAACUGAAGAUAAGAUUUUUAGAUUUUACAAAACAAAGUCAAUAGGAUAAAAUUAAGAUAAAACACACGAAAUCACGAAUGGAGUAGCAAACGCUUAUAUACAAUCAAGAAAAGAUGAAGUAGAGCAACAUUUUGUGGCUUGCAUGACUUGCGGCCCCAGUAAAUAGUUUGUAAAGUGCUAUAUUAACAUCUAUAGACAUCGACGGUAAUAAAACAUCAAAUGAAAAAAACUAUUCAAUGGGUGAAACACUAUGUAAACAGUCAUUAUUACAACAUAUCAAAGGUUGUUGGUUGUAUAGUUGGACUUCUCCAUCGGAAUGAUGUUCAGGAGAUGCUAUCGGAGAGAAUGUCACCAGCACUUCUCCCUUCGCCCUUGGUGGGUAUUGUGUGUUAAUGGUUUUGGAAACUGCGGACGGUGAGCGCCACCUUGAUGAUGACCCUGGAUGGAAUCUCACUGACAUCCAUAGAUUAAAUCUGGUAAGAAAGGAUGGAAGAUCAUAUUAGCUAAGGGUAAACGGAAUCAACAUUGACAUAUACGUAGAGAACGUUUGUGAAUCAGGAGCCCGACUUGGCAUGCGUUCCCCAUCUAUGGUAAAUAAUUUUGCAAUCACUAUAUAUUAAUCGUGCAUAAAAAUAUAUAACUGACUAAGAUAUAAAUGAAGGACACACAUGACUUAGUCAUUCCAAUAUGAAGUACAGAAACAACCGGUGUACUUGGAUUCAAUUCUUAAAUGGUAAUUCAAAAACUAAAUGUAAAUGAAAAUGGUACUCUUAUGUUACAGAUAGACGUGUAACAAUGUUUUUACGGCUGUGUUUCUGAAAUUAUUAAUUUCUCCUAUUCAUUGUGCGUGGCGAUGGAACAAAUAGAUACACUCAACUUAGUGAAAACAAUGAUGGGCCUGGCUCACUUAUGAAAACAGAGGUUUGCCACAACUUUGCGCUGUUUACUUGCAGUUGGAGACAUCCCGAGCUUUGCCCUGAUUUAAAACUUCAGAGCAGGACCAUCUAUCAGAUUUUUAUUGUACAACCCAUAUCCCGCUUCUGUUUAGCAUGCAUCAGAUGCCAUUUCAUGGAACUGCCUGAGAAAUUUCUUGACCUUGCAAGACCUGUGGGAACCCAACAGAUUCACCAAAGCCAACAGAUGGGUGGAAAAAACAGAAGUUUCGAGGUGGAAGCCUACAUCUUUGCGUAUUAGUAAGGAAUAUAGAACCAUUAGAACGUUCAAAUUAUGUGGCCCCAGUUGGCUAAGGAGAAUAUGUAACACGCUGAGUUCCAUAAGCCAUCAAUUCUUGAUCAGGCAAGAUCCUUGGGAGCUUACCAGCUACCAUGGAGUUCGGACAACCAUUUGCAAAUACGAUUUUGAUUACUUAUUGUAAUAACCGAUUCGUUGGUUUCUAUUAAGAAAUAUAAAAAUCUAUACAACACAAGUAUGUAUAGAUUGGGAUUCACCAAUUGCCAAAGGUCAGAAUAUUCAAAAUAUAUACGAUUUAGAAAAGAAAAAAUGUGCAUUGAAGAGGUAAUUGCUGCAUUUUCAGUUUGAAAAGUCACAUCGUGUGUCUAGGAAAUUCUUGCAUGUACACACAAAAAGUAGCUACCAGAACACAAUUCAUCGUAUUCAUAAAUAUGAUUGAUGAUAUGUACAGAGGCAGGAAUCACAUGAAGGUAUUCUACAUUCUAGUGUAACUUGACUAACUUCAGGGCAGUUUCUAUGCGAAAAACACAUCCUCUACACUGAAGUAAAUGCAUCAGCAACUGCUAAUAAGACACUUAAUCAAGGCACAGCUUCUCCUCUCCUGGCAACAUGAACCAUUUCCAGCAUAUAAGGGCUUGUACCAUGUCAAAUGUUUCUGCAUGGCCUCUUUAAGCAUUAGGCGGAGAUAUUCCACCAACAUCAACAAACACCACCUAAGCUACAUCUACUCCAAUGCAAGUUCCUCUUUGCAGGUUCUUAGAUGAUUGUAUUAUGCCUAGGAGGAGAUAAUUAUAUGCUUAAGCACAUGGUAAGCACUGGCGCCUAAUCAAGAAUAGGUGCUACAAAAUAUAACAUUCUCCAUUGUACGUUGCAAGGAAGAAGUGUUGGGUUUUGCUAAGCACCUCUCAAGGCACCUGAACUAUGUGUGCUCGUCAGAGGUAGUUUCCUUCAGUUUGAUUCGAUUUCAUGCUAGGACUCUACUUUUAGCAUUGAAGAAAGCACACCAAAAAAGCUUUAGGAAAUUCAUACCGCUAGUGCACCGAAAACCUUCAUCAGGAAGGACCCAGCCGCCUGCAGCUUGUCAGUGUUCUUCCCGCUCAUUGCAAGCUCCCUAUCUGCCUACAGCAGGGCAAGAAACAAGCAGCCAUGAUGAGCCCCAAAGCUUGAGCUUUACAGACCCAAACUAACCAGCAACCCAGCUCACCUUCUAAAUCGUAUAUAUUUUGAAUAUUCUGACUGUUGGCAAUUGGUGAAUCCCAACCUUGCAGACCAAUUCGUUGGUUUCUUUUACCAUAGUUACUGUCGACCUACAGCCAUACCACAAAAUUCAUUCAUCUGUUUGAUGGACAUGAACAAAAGUACAUAAAAAACCAUUAAUCUUGUCCUUGAGGAUAAUAUGAUGCACUACAUUCAUGUUAUUAAUAAAACAAAAUUACCUAGAUGAACCGGAGCUUCAGGGAUGGGCGCAUAGGGCUAGUGAAUGGGCACAUAGGCUCACAGGUAAAAAAAUGCCCAAAUAA
This is a long non-coding RNA of Lolium rigidum, 3996 nucleotides long. RefSeq lists it as uncharacterized. NCBI's taxonomy places the organism in Eukaryota, Viridiplantae, Streptophyta, Magnoliopsida, Poales, Poaceae. The transcript has 3 exons. The record is from RefSeq and is a predicted model, not a curated record.